UCCCUAUCUAGAAUAUCCUGAUUCGAGAUAUAUGAAAUGGAAGACCUCGGUCCAGGCCUGAUCUAGUUGGGUACUAGAUCUUGGAUUUUUUAGAGGUGUUUUCAGAGGUGUUCUUCAUCUGAAACAAAAGACUGACGAAGAAGACAGCAACCAGGCUGAUUUCGUCAAGAGCCUUAGAUCGUGUCCAGAAGUCUCCAGAUCUGUUCGUUGCUGGUUCUGCUACACCCA
This 228-nucleotide long non-coding RNA is filed under the name Elaeis guineensis (African oil palm). RNAcentral's name for it is "long non-coding RNA (EGUI_LNC069985)". The record is from RNAcentral. Lineage: Eukaryota; Viridiplantae; Streptophyta; Magnoliopsida; Arecales; Arecaceae.